CGCGAGGGAACCGCUCAGGCGCCGCCGCCCCAGCCCAGUGCGGACGACGGGAGAGGGAGGAGGAAGGAGAAUACACUCGCUUGCUUGCUCCCACCCGCACUCGGGCUUCUAGAGCCGGCGCGGAGCCCAGGGGGAGGAGCCGCCGCGGGCACGCCCCGCCUCCGGCCCGGGAAGACGACGCCAGCGACCCCGCCGGCCGGCCACCGCCCCCCUAGCCGGCCGAGACCCGCCCCCGGCCCCGGCCCCGGCCCCGGCCCCGGCCCUCCCCCGGCGGCAUGGAGGGGCCCAGCUCUUGACGGCAGCGCCGCCGCCUCGGCCCCCGCCCCCCCUCCCGGCCCCGCCCGCCUGCCCGCCCCCGCUCGCAUGUCCGCGCCGCCUUAGCCGAGGAUGCUGAGGAUGAAGCUGCCGCUGAAGCCGACGCACCCCGUGGAGCCGCCGCCCGAGGCGGAGGAGCCCGAGGCAGACGCACGGCCGGGCGCUAAGGCGCCGCCGCGCCGCCGCCGGGACUGCCGACCCCCGCCGCCGCCUCCCGCGGGCCCGCCGCGGGGCCCCCCGCCGCCGCCGCCGCCGCCGCCGCCGCCUCCCCGGGGGCUCGGGCCGCCUGUUGCUGGCGGAGCAGCGGCGGGGGCGGGCAUGCCGGGCGGCGGCGGCGGGCCCGCGGCGGCGCUGCGCGAGCAGGAGCGGGUGUACGAGUGGUUUGGGCUGGUGCUGGGCUCGGCGCAGCGCUUGGAGUUCAUGUGCGGGCUGCUGGACCUGUGUAACCCGCUGGAGCUGCGCUUCCUCGGUUCGUGCCUGGAGGACCUGGCGCGCAAGGACUACCACUACCUGCGCGACUCGGAGGCUAAGGCCAACGGCCUCUCGGACCCCGGGCCGCUGGCCGACUUCCGAGAGCCCGCCGUGCGCUCGCGCCUCAUCGUCUACCUGGCGCUGCUGGGCUCGGAGAACCGUGAGGCCGCCGGUCGCCUGCACCGCCUCCUGCCCCAGGUGGACUCGGUGCUCAAGAGUCUGCGCGCGGUUCGGGGCGAGGGUUCGCGGGGCGGCGCGGAGGACGAGCCCGGCGAGCGCGGGGAGGACGGCCAAGGCGAGGAGGACGCAGAGAAGGACGGUUCCGGCCCGGAAGGCAGCGGCGCCGAGCCCCGGCCCGGCGGCGGGCUGGGCUUCAGGGCCCAGGAGGAACUGCUGCUGCUUUUCACCAUGGCUUCGCUGCACCCGGCGUUCUCCUUCCACCAGCGGGUCACCCUGAGGGAGCACCUGGAGAGGCUCCGCACCGCGCUCCGCGGGGGGCCCGAGGACGCAGAGGUGGAGGUGGAGCCGUGCAACUUUGCCGGCCCCCGGGCCCAGAGUGACUCCGCUCACGGUGACUACCCGCAGAGUCAUGAGGCCAGCGUGCUGGCACGAGCCCUGAUACCUCACGACGGACUUCCUGCGGCGCCGCACAGAGCCCAGCGAGAAGCUGUGCACAUCGAGAAGAUAAUGUUGAAAGGAGUCCAGAGAAAAAGGGCUGACAAAUAUUGGGAGUACACCUUCAAAGUAAAUUGGUCUGAUCUUUCAGUCACAACAGUAACAAAAACCCACCAAGAACUACAAGAAUUUCUACUGAAGCUCCCAAAGGAAGUGUCUUCCGAGACUUUUGACAAGACCAUCUUAAGAGCCCUGAAUCAGGGUUCGUUGAAAAGGGAAGAACGGCGACAUCCUGACCUAGAGCCCAUCCUAAGGCAGCUAUUUUCAACUUCAUCCCAAGCUUUUCUACAGAGUCAGAAAGUGCACAGCUUCUUUCAGUCCAUAUCACCAGACCCUCUGCACAGCCUCAAUAACUUACAGUCCUCUCUGAAGACUUCUAAAAUAUUAGAACACUUAAAGGAAGACAGCUCAGAAGCUUCGAGUCAAGAAGAAGAUGUGUUACAGCACACCAUAAUCCACAAGAAACACACCGGCAAGAGUCCCCUUGUGAACACCAUUGGUACAAGUUGUUCUCCGUUGGAUGGGCUCACCGUGCAGUAUUCUGAACAGAACGGAAUUGUGGAUUGGAGAAAGCAGAGCUGCCCCGCCGUUCAGCACCCGGAGCACUGUGUGGCCUUAGCUGACCAGCAUUCAACUGAAAAACGAAGCUUAUCUUCAAUAAAUAAGAAGAAAGGAAAGCCACAAAUAGAAAAGGAGAAAAUUAAGAAAACUGACAACAGAUUGAAUAGUAGAAUAAAUGGUAUCAGACUCUCAACUUCCCAGCAUGCCCAUGGUGGUUCUGUGAAAGAUGUGAAUUUGGACAUUGGAUCUGGACAUGACACAUGUGGAGAAACCUCUUCAGAGAGUUACAGUUCUCCCUCUAGCCCACGACAUGAUGGAAGAGAAAGCUUUGAAAGCGAAGAAGAAAAAGACAGAGACACAGACAGCAAUUCUGAGGAUUCUGGGAAUCCGUCAACAACCAGGUUUACAGGCUGUGGUUCUGUCAACCAGACCGCCAGUGUCAAGCCACCUGUUCAGAUUGCUUCUUUAGGAAGCGACAACGGAGGCCUUCUAGGAGACCCCCUACAUGCGCCCAAGUAUCAGCAUAUUUCUUUUAUGCCAACUUUACACUGUGUCAUGCACAAUGGUGCCCAGAAGUCUGACGUUGUCGUCCCUCCACCCAAAUCCGCUGAUGGCAAGACAAUAGGGAUGCUUGUUCCCAGUCCCGUUGCAAUUUCUGCAAUAAGGGAGUCCACGAAUUCUACCCCUGUUGGAAUACUGGGGCCAACAGCUUCUACCGGAGAAUCCGAAAAACACCUCGAAUUACUGGCUUCCCCUUUACCUCUUCCGUCGGCGUUCCUCCCGCACAGCAGCGCCCCUGCUCUGCACCUGACAAUUCAGAGGCUAAAGUUGCCGCCGCCACAGGGGUCCUCCGAGAGUUGCCCGGUUAACAUCCCGCAGCAGCCACCCGCGAGUCUGAGCAUCGGAUCACCAAACACUGCCUUUAUCCCUGUCCAUAGCCCAGGUAGUUUUCCGGGAUCUCCUGUGGCUACCACGGACCCCAUCGCAAAAUCUGCAUCCCAGGUGGUAGGACUCAAUCAAAUGGUGCCUCAAAUCGAGGGAAACACUGGGACAGUCCCUCAGCCUACCAAUGUGAAGGUAGUUCUCCCAGCAGCCGGCCUUUCGGCCGCACAGCCACCAGCUUCCUACACCUUGCCGGGCUCCCCGCUUGCUGCCGGCGUGCUGCCCAGCCAGAAUUCCAGCGUGCUCAGCACGGCGGCGGCGGCGGCCCAGUCCGCGGGUGCGGGCAUCAGUCAGGCCCAGUCGGUUCCUCCCGCGGUUCCCACCCACACCCCAGGCCCCGCCCCCAGCCCGAGCCCCGCUUUGACACACAGCACCGCGCAGAGCGACAGCACGUCUUACAUCAGCGCUGUGGGAAACACGAACGCUAACGGGACAGUAUUGCCGCCGCAGCAGAUGGGCUCGGGUCCUUGCGGUUCUUGCGGGCGGAGGUGCAGCUGCGGGACCAACGGCAGCCUUCAGCUGAACAGUUACUAUUAUCCCAACCCGAUGCCCGGACCAAUGUACCGAGUCCCGUCGUUCUUUACUCUGCCAUCCAUCUGCAACGGCAGCUACCUCAACCAAGCACAUCAGAGCAAUGGAAACCAACUUCCUUUUUUUCUGCCUCAGACUCCGUAUGCGAACGGCCUGGUGCACGACCCGGUCAUGGGGAGCCAAGCCAACUACGGCAUGCAACAAAUGGCGGGGUUUGGGAGAUUCUACCCUGUGUAUCCAGCACCUAACGUAGUUGCCAACACGAGCGGUUCGGGGCCCAAGAAGAACGGGAACGUUUCAUGUUACAACUGCGGUGUAAGCGGGCACUACGCACAGGAGUGCAAGCAGUCGUCCAUGGAGGCCAGUCAACAAGGCACUUACAGACUGAGAUACGCACCUCCCCUCCCCCCUUCUAAUGAUACGUUGGAUUCUGCAGACUGAAACGCGUAAAGCUUGACUGCUUAAUACCCUGACGUGUUGGGGAGUCAUGGUGGGGUGUGGAGGGGAGGAAAGGAAAGUCAUAUGGUUUUGAAAAAGAGAAACUUUGCUUCUUCCCAGCUUUUCUCACUUUCACCGCAAAGGACACACGUCUCCCCGCCACCCCCUUUCCUGUGGCCUGUAAAUCCAGGGUGAAGUGCUUCACCUUCAUCUGAGAGGAGAAAUCAAGUUCCCCAAAUCGUGUGUAUAUAUGUAAUAAACAGCAUCACGUAAAUACAUAUAUGCAGUGCUUGUUGUCCAAAUCAAAAUUCAAGUUAAGUGGAAGAGAGCGGAAGAAGUAAAACCAUAUGAAACUGAAAAAAUAUGAUGUAUGAAGCGGACAAAGAGCUUUUUCUUAAAAAAAAAAACAAAACAACAAAAAAAGUUUUUACUUCGUCAUACUUUUUUAGCCUGUUGCUUCAGAGAGACAUAAAGUGAACAAAUGUGUGAGUGUCGUGUGUGUGUGUGUGUGUGUGUGUGUGUGUGUCUGUGUCUGUGUCUGUGUCUGUGAUGACAGUCGACGGCUGAUCUCUCUUGUAGUCUGUCACCGUGUCGUGCUAAAGAGACACUACCGGAGUAAAGAUUGCUUCUUUUCUCACGCCGACUGUAGCAGUGAUACGUUGUGUUCGAGAUGUGUGUGGUCUGUUGCAGUCCGAGCGGAAGCUCUGGUUUCUGCGAAAGUCAGGUUCGUUCCCUAACCCGUCUCUCUCGUCGCAAAGUCACUUUGAUAAGUUUCCCACUCUGCGUGAUCAUAAUGUGAAAGACUGGCUUCCGAGUGUGUUCAGACAGUAGUAAGCAUGUCUGUGUCCUGUCACUAAGUUUAAUGCUGCUGUUUUCAAAAAAAAAAAAAAAAAGUUUUUUUUAAAGCCAAUCUAUGUACUAAAUUGCUUCCAGGUAAUUUUUGAUUUCCUAAAGUGCACUGAGAUUAUCUGGAAGCCUUGGGUGUAUUUUUGGAACUGCUGCAUUCAACAGCGAUGAGCAUCUGCCCCCGUACGGUCAGGGGUUCAGGGUCGGGCUGGUUUUGUUUUCCCAUUCCUCAGUACAGAGCAGAAGGGAUAGAUUCGUGUCGUGUGGGGCAGUGUCAGUGCCCAGCAGAGGAACUUAAAUACUUGGCCUGGGUUCAGAAGCCCAACAGAUUGCUAGAUAAAAGGAAAAACUUGAAGAAAAGAGAAGCUUCAUUUAAUGCUUCAUGGGUAGCAUUUAUAUUUAUAACAGCAAUGUACAUUUUGAAACUAACUUUCAGGGUGGGAGUUCGGGGGGAAGGGAA
Prionailurus viverrinus (fishing cat) is the source of this 5239-nucleotide RNA transcript. It is a transcript of the gene named zinc finger CCHC-type containing 2, with no coding region annotated. The record is from RefSeq and is a predicted model, not a curated record. The transcript has 15 exons. NCBI's taxonomy places the organism in Eukaryota, Metazoa, Chordata, Mammalia, Carnivora, Felidae.